Molecule: long non-coding RNA, 1577 nt
Organism: Oreochromis aureus
Lineage: Eukaryota; Metazoa; Chordata; Actinopteri; Cichliformes; Cichlidae
Exons: 7
Source: RefSeq, a predicted model, not a curated record
GGAAGACUCCAGAAUCCACUCUGGCUGGAAUCCGGUGGAUACAGCAGUGUUACAGAACAGUUCUCCACAGUCACUGUCCACAUGGGUCAGUGGGACCAAGAAGCACUCUGCUAAUGUGAGACUCUGACCAGCAACAUCCAGCAAGACCCAGGCAGCGUUUUCUAUCUCCCAGCUGGAGUUUUUUUGUUUGUCUGUGACUGGAGAGUCAGAUUUUUGUUGAGCCUCACACUUGCAGAGUCUUUUUGCAGGAUCAGAAAACAAAACCAGGAGACCUGUAAAUGUUUCUUCUCCAAUUGGAUGAUGAUAAGACUGUGACACGGGAUGCCACCUUUAGUCUUGUGAUGAGGCAAAGCUCAGGAAGCAGUGUGAUUAAAUGGUACCCACAUGUGUGCUGCUGAGAAGGAUGUACAGGGGCACCUGCAGCCAAAUCCAAGCCUCCUCAGCAACUUCAAGUCUGUCAGCGUGCUGAGGUCACAGAAACAAGAGAAGAAGCUUCAGACUUCAGAGUGUUGUUUACAGUUUUCUGUCAUCAUGAUCUCCCCUGAAGUUUAUCACUAUUAUACAAGCAAUGGUGACGGUGUGGAGAGACGGUGGUGUUUCCUCAGAAGAACCAGCAGAGUCACCAAGGACACGAGUCCAUCUCACCACCUUGACUUGCUGACUGAUGCUCGUCUGCACUGCACAGAGGAAAUCAACUGACCGAGAUGGGCAGGAUAUCAGUCUUGGACUGUCUGACCUGCAGCACUGAAUGACCACCACACAUGAGCAUGUUCCUGCAACAUUCAGCAGCUUUGCUUUUGUGUCAAAUGUCCAACAGCUGGAGAGGAAACUACACCAGUGUACUGGGAUGUUUCACCAACACGUGCCAGACGCUGUUCCUUCAUGGUUUCAUCACCAGAGACAGCCCCGCCCACCUCAGGACCUCGCCAUUGAUCAUGAUGGUUAUAAUAAUGACAGCGAGCGGAACUAAGACUGUAAAAAUCCACGACCAGAAUGUUUAGAUGCUUUCUAAUUAUUAAUGAAUACUGAGAGCCUCUUUCUGUGUUUUGUCUGUUUUGGUUUUUUUUACCUCAUUUGUUACUAACAAAGUUCACCAAACUCACACAGUUUACUUUCUGUAUGUUUCCAUCUUUACCAGCCACAGUCUACCCGCAAUUAAGCAAAUAAUCCUUAGAAAUCGUCGUUUUUGUCUUUUGUAUUUGAUGAUAAUUCAGUGAAUAUACUGCGCUGCUUCCUUUUAUUGCGUCUCACAUUGCUUUAAGUUUUUCAGUGUCCAGUUAUUUUUUACUGCUGUUUGAAUUCUCUGUAUCUUUGACCCUGUAGACUGUUUGAUGGACUGCUUGUCUUCCUAUUUGUAACCGCCGCCUGUUUUUGACUAAAGAUUUGGAUUUCUGACUGUAACACAGCCUCUGCGUGUCCUCCCUUUGUGUCCUCUUCCUCUGUGAAUGUGUUGCAUGUGUCACAGAUUCAUUUUAUUAACAGCUUUCCCACAGUCAGUUGCAUCAGCAUUCAUUCACAGCACAUUUCAGAAGGAUUCAGAUCAAUACAGUGAUCUUAUAGUCAGAAUUAUCCUGACA